RNAcentral lists this ribosomal RNA (715 nucleotides) under Klebsiella pneumoniae. RNAcentral describes it as "bacterial SSU rRNA". It matches the Rfam family "Bacterial small subunit ribosomal RNA", at positions 56 to 762 of the family's 1533-position model. The record is from RNAcentral. Lineage: Bacteria; Pseudomonadati; Pseudomonadota; Gammaproteobacteria; Enterobacterales; Enterobacteriaceae.
UGCAGUCGAGCGGUAGCACAGAGAGCUUGUCUCUCGGGUGACGAGCGGCGGACGGGUGAGUAAUGUCUGGGAAACUGCCUGAUGGAGGGGGAUAACUACUGGAAACGGUAGCUAAUACCGCAUAAUGUCGCAAGACCAAAGUGGGGGACCUUCGGGCCUCAUGCCAUCAGAUGUGCCCAGAUGGGAUUAGCUAGUAGGUGGGGUAACGGCUCACCUAGGCGACGAUCCCUAGCUGGUCUGAGAGGAUGACCAGCCACACUGGAACUGAGACACGGUCCAGACUCCUACGGGAGGCAGCAGUGGGGAAUAUUGCACAAUGGGCGCAAGCCUGAUGCAGCCAUGCCGCGUGUGUGAAGAAGGCCUUCGGGUUGUAAAGCACUUUCAGCGGGGAGGAAGGCGAUAAGGUUAAUAACCUUGUCGAUUGACGUUACCCGCAGAAGAAGCACCGGCUAACUCCGUGCCAGCAGCCGCGGUAAUACGGAGGGUGCAAGCGUUAAUCGGAAUUACUGGGCGUAAAGCGCACGCAGGCGGUCUGUCAAGUCGGAUGUGAAAUCCCCGGGCUCAACCUGGGAACUGCAUUCGAAACUGGCAGGCUAGAGUCUUGUAGAGGGGGGUAGAAUUCCAGGUGUAGCGGUGAAAUGCGUAGAGAUCUGGAGGAAUACCGGUGGCGAAGGCGGCUCCCUGGACAAAGACUGACGCUCAGGUGCGAAAGCGU